Molecule: ribosomal RNA, 320 nt
Filed under: uncultured eukaryote
Lineage: Eukaryota
Description: partial 18S ribosomal RNA
Rfam family: Eukaryotic small subunit ribosomal RNA
Source: RNAcentral
CCCCUAGAUGUUCUGGGCCGCACGCGCGCUACACUGAACAGUUCAACAAGUCUUAACCUUGGCCGAUAGGUCUAGGUAAUCUUUGAACGCUGUUCGUGACUGGGAUAGACCUUUGCAAUUAUGGGUCUUCAACGAGGAAUUCCUAGUAAACGCAAGUCAUCAGCUUGCAUUGAUUACGUCCCUGCCCUUUGUACACACCGCCCGUCGCACCUACCGAUUGAAUGGUCCGGUGAAAUCUCUGGACGGCGGCUUGGUCGCUUGCGUCCGACUGCUGAAACUUGAUUAAACCAUAUCAUUUAGAGGAAGGUGAAGUCGUAACA